Molecule: ribosomal RNA, 443 nt
Filed under: uncultured bacterium
Lineage: Bacteria
Description: partial 16S ribosomal RNA
Rfam family: Bacterial small subunit ribosomal RNA
Source: RNAcentral
CCUACGGGCGGCAGCAGUGGGGAAUAUUGGGCAAUGGGCGCAAGCCUGACCCAGCAACGCCGCGUGAAGGAAGAAGGCUUUCGGGUUGUAAACUUCUUUUCUCAGGGACGAAGAAAGUGACGGUACCUGAGGAAUAAGCCACGGCUAACUACGUGCCAGCAGCCGCGGUAAUACGUAGGUGGCAAGCGUUAUCCGGAUUUACUGGGUGUAAAGGGCGUGUAGGCGGGAAAGCAAGUCAGAUGUGAAAACCAUGGGCUCAACCUGUGGCCUGCAUUUGAAACUGUUUUUCUUGAGUACUGGAGAGGCAGACGGAAUUCCUCGUGUAGCGGUGAAAUGCGGAGAUAUGAGGAGGAACACCAGUGGCGAAGGCGGUCUGCUGGACAGCAACUGACGCUGAGGCGCGAAAGCGUGGGGAGCAAACAGGAUUAGAUACCCCGGUAGUC